RNAcentral lists this ribosomal RNA (471 nucleotides) under Bacillus licheniformis. Its description in RNAcentral is "bacterial SSU rRNA". It matches the Rfam family "Bacterial small subunit ribosomal RNA", at positions 338 to 795 of the family's 1533-position model. The record is from RNAcentral. Lineage: Bacteria; Bacillati; Bacillota; Bacilli; Caryophanales; Bacillaceae.
CCUACGGGAGGCAGCAGUAGGGAAUCUUCCGCAAUGGACGAAAGUCUGACGGAGCAACGCCGCGUGAGUGAUGAAGGUUUUCGGAUCGUAAAACUCUGUUGUUAGGGAAGAACAAGUACCGUUCGAAUAGGGCGGUACCUUGACGGUACCUAACCAGAAAGCCACGGCUAACUACGUGCCAGCAGCCGCGGUAAUAGCCAGUAGGUGGCAAGCGUUGUCCGGGAAUUAUUGGGCGUAAAGCGCGCGCAGGCGGUUUCUUAAGUCUGAUGUGAAAGCCCCCGAGCUCAACCGGGGAGGGUCAUUGGAAACUGGGGAACUUGAGUGCAGAAGAGGAGAGUGGAAUUCCACGUGUAGCGGUGAAAUGCGUAGAGAUGUGGAGGAACACCAGUGGCGAAGGCGACUCUCUGGUCUGUAACUGACGCUGAGGCGCGAAAGCGUGGGGAGCGAACAGGAUUAGAUACCCUGGUAGUC